UACAGAGGGUGCUAGCGUUGUUCGGAAUCAUUGGGCGUAAAGGGCGCGUAGGCGGUUCUGUAAGUCCCGCGUGAAAUCCCCCGGCUCAACUGGGGAACUGCGCGGGAAACUGCGGGGCUUGAGUUCGGGAGAGGGAAGCGGAAUUCCGGGUGUAGCGGUGAAAUGCGUAGAUAUCCGGAGGAACACCGGUGGCGAAGGCGGCUUCCUGGACCGACACUGACGCUGAGGCGCGAAAGCUAGGGGAGCAAACGGG
RNAcentral lists this ribosomal RNA (253 nucleotides) under uncultured bacterium. Its description in RNAcentral is "partial 16S ribosomal RNA". It matches the Rfam family "Bacterial small subunit ribosomal RNA", at positions 524 to 776 of the family's 1533-position model. The record is from RNAcentral.